RNAcentral lists this ribosomal RNA (785 nucleotides) under uncultured beta proteobacterium. Its description in RNAcentral is "bacterial SSU rRNA". It matches the Rfam family "Bacterial small subunit ribosomal RNA", at positions 93 to 876 of the family's 1533-position model. Lineage: Bacteria; Pseudomonadati; Pseudomonadota; Betaproteobacteria. The record is from RNAcentral.
GAGUGGCGAACGGGUGAGUAAUGCAUCGGAACGUGCCCAGUCGUGGGGGAUAACGCAGCGAAAGCUGUGCUAAUACCGCAUACGAUCUAUGGAUGAAAGCGGGGGACCGUAAGGCCUCGCGCGAUUGGAGCGGCCGAUGUCAGAUUAGCUAGUUGGUGGGGUAAAGGCCCACCAAGGCGACGAUCUGUAGCUGGUCUGAGAGGACGACCAGCCACACUGGAACUGAGACACGGUCCAGACUCCUACGGGAGGCAGCAGUGGGGAAUUUUGGACAAUGGGCGCAAGCCUGAUCCAGCAAUGCCGCGUGCAGGAAGAAGGCCUUCGGGUUGUAAACUGCUUUUGUACGGAACGAAACGGUCUGGGCUAAUACCCCGGGCUAAUGACGGUACCGUAAGAAUAAGCACCGGCUAACUACGUGCCAGCAGCCGCGGUAAUACGUAGGGUGCAAGCGUUAAUCGGAAUUACUGGGCGUAAAGCGUGCGCAGGCGGUUUUGUAAGACAGGCGUGAAAUCCCCGGGCUCAACCUGGGAAUUGCGCUUGUGACUGCAAAGCUGGAGUGCGGCAGAGGGGGAUGGAAUUCCGCGUGUAGCAGUGAAAUGCGUAGAUAUGCGGAGGAACACCGAUGGCGAAGGCAAUCCCCUGGGCCUGCACUGACGCUCAUGCACGAAAGCGUGGGGAGCAAACAGGAUUAGAUACCCUGGUAGUCCACGCCCUAAACGAUGUCAACUGGUUGUUGGGUCUCUUCUGACUCAGUAACGAAGCUAACGCGUGAAGUGACCGCCUGG